UACAGGAGGGGGCAAGCGUUUGUCCGGAUUUACUGGGCGUACAGCGCGCGCAGGCGGUUGCGUAUGUGAGCGGUGGACAUCCGCGGGCUCAACCCGCGGCGGCCCGCUUACACAGCGCGACUGGAGGCAGGGAGAGGGAUGUGGAAUACCCGGUGGAGCGGUGAAAUGCGUAGAUAAUGCGGAGGAACACCGAUGGCGAAGGCAAUCCCCUGGGCCUGUACUGACGCUCAUGCACGAAAGCGUGGGGAGCAAACAGG
Molecule: ribosomal RNA, 257 nt
Filed under: uncultured bacterium
Lineage: Bacteria
Description: partial 16S ribosomal RNA
Rfam family: Bacterial small subunit ribosomal RNA
Source: RNAcentral